Molecule: ribosomal RNA, 445 nt
Filed under: uncultured bacterium
Lineage: Bacteria
Description: partial 16S ribosomal RNA
Rfam family: Bacterial small subunit ribosomal RNA
Source: RNAcentral
GUGAGGAAUAUUGGUCAAUGGGCGGGAGCCUGAACCAGCCAAGUCGCGUGAAGGAAGAAGGAUCUAUGGUUCGUAAACUUCUUUUGCAGGGGAAUAAAGUGCAGGACGUGUCCUGUUUUGUAUGUACCCUGAGAAUAAGGAUCGGCUAACUCCGUGCCAGCAGCCGCGGUAAUACGGAGGAUCUGAGCGUUAUCCGGAUUUAUUGGGUUUAAAGGGUGCGUAGGUGGUUUGAUAAGUCAGCGGUGAAAGUUUGCAGCUUAACUGUAAAAAUGCCGUUGAAACUGUCGGACUUGAGUGUAAAUGAGGUAGGCGGAAUGCGUGGUGUAGCGGUGAAAUGCAUAGAUAUCACGCAGAACUCCGAUUGCGAAGGCAGCUUACUAAGCUACAACUGACACUGAAGCACGAAAGCGUGGGGAUCAAACAGGAUUAGAAACCCGGGUAGUCC